Molecule: long non-coding RNA, 1932 nt
Organism: Apodemus sylvaticus (European woodmouse)
Lineage: Eukaryota; Metazoa; Chordata; Mammalia; Rodentia; Muridae
Exons: 3
Source: RefSeq, a predicted model, not a curated record
UUAUGUUCAUCACACAGCAAUCUUUGUUUCUGGACGUUCACUGCAGUGUAAACCCCGCCUCGGGCACCGGUCUCCGGUCUUCGUGGACAUCCUGUUUUACCCUUUCUAGCGGGUGGGUGGAUUUGUGGACUCUGACUGUGGGGCAGUGCUGGAUGCCAACCUGGAGGACAUGAAAAGCGGAACCUCUAAAGAAUCUGCCUUGGAAAUUCCCGCUCGCUCGUGAAAUGAUGACCCUGAGACGGCCCAGAUCAGGCAGUGCUGUAGACUGUCCGAGGUACUGUUGCUAGGGUCCAUUCCGGAGGACCUGACACCAUCAUCCUCUUAGCACCAAUCUUACAGAAAAGCUUCGGAAGCCUUUGGAUUUAUGGGAAGGAACAAGCUGUUACAAAGACAACAGUUUUAUUGAAAACCAGCCUAAAUCAAGUGGAGGAAAGGUAGCUGUAAAAAUCGGCCAAGAGUGAGGCUGCAGAGUGGGGCCUGUGGAGCCUGUGUCGUUCCCAAUCACCAGCAAAACCGACAAUGGGCUGACCUGCUACCUGCAGCUGUUUUCAAUCAGGAAGCAGUGCAAUUAUGGCAUCCUCUCCCGGGGCUCACUUGCAGGACCACAUGGAGCCAAGGGAACAUUAAGGAUGUUUGAACCAGCUCCCAGAAAUCUACAGCGUUCGCCUGCCAACCGCUCGUCUUCACCCUGGCUGGGCGUCAUUAACUCCAUUCCGCAUUCAUUCAACAAUCAAAAAUCUACAUUCUUCCCGGAUGAAUGGCGAUGUCCUCUGAUCCAGGAAACCAGCCCUCCAGUUUCGGAGUCGGGGCUACAGAGAAGGAGGACCUCUCACGAGCCCUCACCAUCUCCUGACACCAUCACCAUGAGAAGCAAAUCUGCAGCCUGUGAACUCCUGGGAGCAAAGCGUGGGAGCACACUGACAGCCAAUCAGCUUCCUCGUCUAUACACGAACAUGACAGAAGAGCAUUUCUGAGAAUGCUAGAUCAUGAAAAUGAGGUGGCUUAUUACUUCCUGUCUGUCUGUCUGUCUGUCUAUCUAUCUAUCUAUCUAUUAUCUCUAUCACCUAUUGAGGAUAUAAUACUAUCAUAAAAAUUUAAAUAAUUGUCUGUCCUGAACUUUAGCUUCAUAGCUCAAUCAUGGGCCAGAAGUUUUCUCCUUGGAUGUGCCAACAUCCUCUUAUCAUUUCUCGCAGAUGGACAUCCACUUGAGAACUAUAUUUAUGCUAAUGGUUUUAUACUGUUUUCACAGGGGUGUGGCCAAAAUACUAUUUUUGAUAUGGUGGUGUCACUUAGAUUCCAUGAGAGAGAGAGAGAGAGAGAGAGAGAGAGAGAGAGAGAGAGAGAGAGUGUCACAGCAUACUUGACUCCUACCUCAGUCUUCUCAUCUUAGAAUGGGUCAAUAGCAGCCACUCUGCAGGUGAUAAUUCAAUGCAUACUAACCUGUAAUCACUGGGUGUGGUGUGCAUUUAGUAAAUACUAGCUAAAAGAUACCAUGCUGGGGAAGGAAUGGCUGUGAAGGGGGAGAGGAUGAAGAAAGGAUAAUUGGGGAUGAAAGAAUGAGUUCUCUUAUACAGAAUCUAGAGUGUAUUUAGUGGGAGGAUGGGCACCAGGGAGAUGGGUGGGGAACAAGAUGGAGUCAUGGGUGCAUAGGAGCUACAGCAAAGAUCAGCACGAAAGAAAAGAUAAUGAAAGUCAUUAUUUUGCAUGCUAAGUAAAAAUUUUAAAAGUCUCUCACAUUCAGGUUGAAUUAUCAAAGUGCUUGUUUCAUUCCAAUGAGAACUCAGUCAAUACUUCCGGUCUUUCCAUGAGCACUCAGUCAAUACUUCCGGUCUUUCCAUGAGAACUUAGUCAAUACUUCCGGUCGGUCUUUCCACGAUCUGGUAGCAAGUAUCCCAUUAUGGCUUUGCUAGCAUUCUUUUGUUUAAAAAAUAA